AUGCUCUCCUCCGGGCUCUGGCUUUCAUGUCUCCUCCCACCUCGCCCUCACUCCUCCUGGAUUGGCCGCAGGGGGGGUGUUGGGAUGCUGGGUCCGGAUGCCGGCGUUGCGCUCCGCACGCGCUCGAGCUUCGGUCCUGUCCCUCUUUGCAGACAUUUUGCCGUGAUAUUGGCGUACAUGUUGCCAAAUGCAAUGGUUUGCUCCAUGCUUCAAGCAAUGUUGCAUUACAAUCGUGCAUUUCCUCCCAAAGUCUGGUGCAUACCAGGCAAGUGGGAUGAAAAUCUUGCUCGUGAAGGGUUGAUUCUCCAUGAAUGCGUAAACAGUCUUAUGCUCAUUGCGCAAACAAAUGGAAACCCUUGCUUGUGGAGGAUUGGCUCCCCACAAAAGCAAGGGAACUCUUUCUCGUUUUGCUAA
This 414-nucleotide ribosomal RNA is filed under the name Triticum aestivum (bread wheat). Its description in RNAcentral is "partial small subunit ribosomal RNA". Lineage: Eukaryota; Viridiplantae; Streptophyta; Magnoliopsida; Poales; Poaceae. The record is from RNAcentral.